GACGAACGCUGGCGGCGUGCUUAACACAUGCAAGUCGAACGGAAAGGCCCUGCUUUUGUGGGGUGCUCGAGUUGCGAACGGGUGAGUAACACGUGAGUAACCUGCCCUUGACUUUGGGAUAACUUCAUGAAACUGGGGCUAAUACCGGAUAGGAGCUCCUGCUGCAUGGUGGGGGUUGGAAAGUUUCGGCGGUUGGGGAUGGACUCGCGGCUUAUCAGCUUGUUGGGGGGGUAGUGGCUUACCAAGGCUUUGACGGGUAGCCGGCCUGGGAGGGGGACCGGCCACACUGGGAUGGAGAUACGGCCCAGACUCCUACGGGAGGCAGCGGUGGGGAAUAGAGCACAAUGGGCGGAAGCCUGAUGCAGCAACGCAGCGUGCGGGAUGACGGCAAUCGGGUUGUAAACCGCUUUCGCCUGUGACGAAGCGUGAGUGACGGUAAUGGGUAAAGAAGCACCGGCUAACUACGUG
Molecule: ribosomal RNA, 468 nt
Filed under: uncultured bacterium
Lineage: Bacteria
Description: partial 16S ribosomal RNA
Rfam family: Bacterial small subunit ribosomal RNA
Source: RNAcentral